Molecule: small RNA, 562 nt
Filed under: Pongo abelii (Sumatran orangutan)
Lineage: Eukaryota; Metazoa; Chordata; Mammalia; Primates; Hominidae
Description: processed transcript
Source: RNAcentral
CAUGCUUGAGAGUUAGGGAGAGCUGCCUGGGCUUGACCGCGCCUUGGUCUGAAAGUCCCGGCUUUUGCCCCUCCUCCUUUUUCCCCUGUUGACCAUUCCGCUUUGCAGAGUUUUCAAAAACUGGAGCGAAAAUGAUGUGGGCGGGGCAAAGGCGGCGGAAAGAGGAGAGAACUGAAACUGGCGCGGGAACUUGGGUUUCCUGGUGGCCUCCCAUCCAAUUCCCACGAACCAGCUUUCCUCUUAAACCUUGAAAAGAGAAAUUCAGGAGUUCGAGUAUAAGUUUUUACUCGUCCUUUCCUCUUUCCUUUCAGACAGGCGCACCCCAGGCAAAAAAUGUCUCGCGGGUUAUUGGCGCCAGGCUUUCAGGGGACAGUGGGGCGGGGCGAGGUGGGCACGGGACGUUAGGCAGCCGUUGGCCUUCCCUAACGUCACACCGUCCUGUCGCCGUCACACCGUACAGCGUGUACGUCGCCGUGUAUCCUGCGCCUGCUGCGUGGGGGAGGGGACUCCAAGAUGAAUUUCCUCUGCUGACAACCAAACGUGUGUUCUGGAAGGGUGUUUU